RNAcentral lists this ribosomal RNA (202 nucleotides) under uncultured bacterium. Its description in RNAcentral is "partial 16S ribosomal RNA". It matches the Rfam family "Bacterial small subunit ribosomal RNA", at positions 524 to 724 of the family's 1533-position model. The record is from RNAcentral.
UACGAAGGGGGCUAGCGUUUGUUCGGAAUUACUGGGCGUAAAGCGCACGUAGGCGGCUUUGUAAGUUAGAGGUGAAAGCCCGGGGCUCAACUCCGGAAUUGCCUUUAAGACUGCAUCGCUUGAAUCCGGGAGAGGUGAGUGGAAUUCCGAGUGUAGAGGUGAAAUUCGUAGAUAUUCGGAAGAACACCAGUGGCGAAGGCGG